ACAAGACGGUGGAUGAUGUGGUUUAAUUCGAUGCAACGCGAAAACCUUACCACCUUUGACAUGUACGGUAAUCCUUUAGAGAUAGAGGAGUGCUCGAAAGAGAGCCGUAACACAGGUGCUGCAUGGCUGUCGUCAGCUCGUGUCGUGAGAUGUUGGGUUAAGUCCCGCAACGAGCGCAACCCUUGUCAUUAGUUGCUACAUUCAGUUGGGGCACUCUAAUGAGACUGCCGGUGACAAACCGGAGGAAGGUGGGGAUGACGUCAAGUCCUCAUGGCCCUUAUAGGUGGGGCUACACACGUCAUACAAUGGAUGGUACAAAGGGUCGCCAACCCGCGAGGGGGAGCCAAUCCCAUAAAGCCAUUCGUAGUCCGGAUCGCAGUCUGCAACUCGACUGCGUGAAGUCGGAAUCGCUAGUAAUCGUGAAUCAGAAUGUCACGGUGAAUACGUUCCCGGGCCUU
This 458-nucleotide ribosomal RNA is filed under the name uncultured Acidovorax sp. RNAcentral describes it as "bacterial SSU rRNA". It matches the Rfam family "Bacterial small subunit ribosomal RNA", at positions 925 to 1382 of the family's 1533-position model. The record is from RNAcentral. Lineage: Bacteria; Pseudomonadati; Pseudomonadota; Betaproteobacteria; Burkholderiales; Comamonadaceae.